GGGCCCGUAGCUCAGUGGUUAGAGCAGGGGACUCAUAAUCCCUUGGUCGGGGGUUCAAAUCCCUCCGGGCCCACCA
This 76-nucleotide transfer RNA is filed under the name Owenweeksia sp. TMED14. RNAcentral's name for it is "tRNA-Met(cat)". It matches the Rfam family "tRNA". Rfam says of the family: Transfer RNA (tRNA) molecules are approximately 80 nucleotides in length. Their secondary structure includes four short double-helical elements and three loops (D, anti-codon, and T loops). Lineage: Bacteria; Pseudomonadati; Bacteroidota; Flavobacteriia; Flavobacteriales; Owenweeksiaceae. The record is from RNAcentral.